Long non-coding RNA from Orcinus orca (killer whale), 1310 nucleotides. RefSeq lists it as uncharacterized. The record is from RefSeq and is a predicted model, not a curated record. The transcript has 5 exons. NCBI's taxonomy places the organism in Eukaryota, Metazoa, Chordata, Mammalia, Artiodactyla, Delphinidae.
UUGAGCCUGUUUACUGCGCGCCCAGGGCCCCACUCUCGUGCAGCCACCGUCACUUGUCAGCUGGGCCAUGGCGUGGGCCUCUUCACCAGUCUCCCCGCUCCUAGUCUGGCUCCCACAAGACAGUCUGCACACACCCACUGAGGAGUCCACAGUGCGAGCAGCGGCAGGUCAAGAGCCCCACAGGUGUGAAGAGUGGCAAUGAGGUCAUAAACCGUCAUGUGAGAGGUGCCCUCCCCAUACCUGGAGAAAAGGAGCGUCUGUAUCUCCAAAGACUGAGUCGCCAAGAAGAAUCCUAACUAACAGGCCUUGUGAAGCUGUCCCCAGUUACUACAAUUACUUCCUCCCCCUACCCCAUCACAUUUCUCCCUGACGGGCCACUCUUCAUCGAAGCUGGCGCGAAAAUACACAGGCAUGUUCCAGCCUCCCUUGGAUGUAGCCCACCUUCCCAGGCCACGCCAACCUGGGAUAAAAGUUCUCUUAGAUUAUCCUGGAUAACUGCUAUACCCAGCAAGACUUAGAAAACACAGACAGUAGCUCGGGGACAGCGUCAUCUGGAGCCAAAGAAAUCAGGACACAAUUUCGAAGAAAGAGCAGCAAACCCAUCCCUCUGGAGGCGCUCACCCACCUUGUGGUGUCGUUCCUGGCCCUGCACCUCCUUCUCAACGAUGGGAAUGUCCACGACUCCCGCUGAGGGCACCGGGACGCGCAUCGUGAUGGCCCUGAGGGGACACACACAGACCCUUGCUUAAGCCACAAAGGAGUUCCUGCUCUAUGAACGGAUGAAUAGAUGGAAGGGUGCCUACACCACCUCGACCGCUAUCGAUGGGCUUCAUACCAGUACUUCUUUGUCACCUGACGGGUUCUAAACAACUCUUGGACUUGAUGCGCCACGUCUUUUUCCCAAGCCAACACCAUUACGCCUGUAGUUUCCUUGUCCAGCCGAUGGCACAGAUGCAAGGGCUCUGCCUUGUGGCCGUGAAGCAUCUUCGCCAGGACAGGCAGUACAUCACUGAUGCAGAGCCGGACCCCAGGGCCACCUACGAAGGAAAAAGCCAGAGGUUUGAGAGGCCAGGAAAAGAUCUCACCAAAGACCUCUACCUGGGACAACAGUCCUUACUGGAUUAACAGUAAAUGCUUUCUAGAGCCUUAUUACUGAAUUGUGGUCCAGGGACUAGAAACAUAUCAGUCUGCCCAGGGAGCUCGCUAGAAAGGAAUCUCAGGCCUCCAACCCAGACUAAUUAAUCAAAAUCUGCAUUUUAACAAAAGGCCCAAGUGACUCAUAUGCAUAUUAAAGUUUAAAAAGCACCAUC